RNAcentral lists this ribosomal RNA (429 nucleotides) under uncultured eukaryote. Its description in RNAcentral is "bacterial SSU rRNA". It matches the Rfam family "Eukaryotic small subunit ribosomal RNA", at positions 592 to 1018 of the family's 1831-position model. The record is from RNAcentral.
CAAUAGCGUAUAUUAAAGUUGUUGACGGUUAAAAAGCUCGUAGUUGGAUUUCUGCCGAGGACGACCGGUCCGCCCUCUGGGUGAGUAUCUGGCUCGACCUGGGCAUCCUUCCAGAGAAUGUGUCUGCUCUUGACUGAGUGGUGCAGUAUCUGGAACUUUACUUUGAGGAAAUUAGAGUGUUUCAAGCAGGCAUUACGCCUUGAAUACAUUAGCAUGGAAUAAUAAGAUAGGACCUCGGUUUCUAUUUUUGUUGGUUUCUAGAGCUGAGGUAAUGAUUGAUAGGGGAUAGUUGGGGGUGCUAGUAUUGGCCGGCCAGAGGUGAAAUUCUUGGAUUCGGUCAAGACUAAACUUAUGCGAAAGCAUUCUACCAAGGAUGUCUUCUUUAAAUCAAGAACGAAAGUUGGGGGAUCGAAGACGAUCAGAUACCGU